UACGAAGGGGGCUAGCGUUGCUCGGAAUCACUGGGCGUAAAGGGUGCGUAGGCGGGUCUUUAAGUCAGGGGUGAAAUCCUGGAGCUCAACUCCAGAACUGCCUUUGAUACUGAAGAUCUUGAGUUCGGGAGAGGUGAGUGGAACUGCGAGUGUAGAGGUGAAAUUCGUAGAUAUUCGCAAGAACACCGGUGGCGAAGGCGGUGCUCUGGGCCGAAACUGACGCUGAGGAGCGAAAGCGUGGGGAGCAAACAGG
This 253-nucleotide ribosomal RNA is filed under the name uncultured bacterium. Its description in RNAcentral is "partial 16S ribosomal RNA". It matches the Rfam family "Bacterial small subunit ribosomal RNA", at positions 524 to 776 of the family's 1533-position model. The record is from RNAcentral.